UUGCGUUUAUUUGUUUCUAUUUUUUCCUCCGUCAAUUUAGGUAAACUUAGGAACACAGAGCAUAGGACAGGGAUUAGUUCUUAACUUUUUUUUUUUUUUUUUGGUAGUCAUCAUGACCAAGGACCAGACUAUACAUAUAAGACUAUAAACAAAUAAGGAAGGGAAGGAGGGUGGGAGGGAGGGAGGGAGGAAAGAAGGGAGGGAGGAAGGAAGGAAGGGAGGGAGGGAGGGAGGGAGGGAGGAAGAGAGGGAAGGAGGGAAAGAGGAAGAGAAGGAAGAAAGAAGGAAGAAGCAGACUCCUUAGCAUGUAGGGGGCAUGUAAACCAAAAACACUUAACUUGACUCCUACAGAUCAUUGAGGCAGAAUCCGAUUAGUUCUUCACCAGUGUCUCUGUUCCCUUCAUCUUUGGCAUACUUCUAAAUUGCAUUCGCCAAUUUCACGUGAGGACAUGUGGCUAAUUCCCCACGGAAUGUCAGCAGAAGGGAUGUGUGUUACUUCUAGGAACGGCCCCUAAAAUUUCCUGCCCUGUUGCUCAGGUUUCCUCCCCUUUCUCCUGCUGGAUACAUGCAAAGGAUCGAGUGGAGGUCUCCAAGGCCCUGCAAGAUGGUACAGCCACACACGAAGCACCUGGGUCCCCCUUCAUAUUGGGCUGUGACAUGAGAAAGGAAGCAACAAGUCGACCAUCAUUUCUGCCAUUGAAGGAGAAUGUUACCUGAGACCACCCUUGGUCACAACUCUAAGAUAUCCCUCGGUCUCCCUGAGGUGCGCUGUGCAGAGAUUGGACAUCACAAGCUUC
This 797-nucleotide long non-coding RNA is filed under the name Felis catus (domestic cat). RNAcentral describes it as "lncRNA (ENSFCAG00000051991.1)". Lineage: Eukaryota; Metazoa; Chordata; Mammalia; Carnivora; Felidae. The record is from RNAcentral.